This 484-nucleotide ribosomal RNA is filed under the name uncultured bacterium. RNAcentral's name for it is "partial 16S ribosomal RNA". It matches the Rfam family "Bacterial small subunit ribosomal RNA", at positions 30 to 507 of the family's 1533-position model. The record is from RNAcentral.
AUUGAACGCUGGCGGCAGGCCUAACACAUGCAAGUCGAGCGGAAGAAGGGAGCUUGCUGCUGGAUUGAGCGGCGGACGGGUGAGUAAUGCCUAGGAAUCUGCCUGGUAGUGGUGGAUAACGUCCGGAAACGGGCGCUAAUACCGCAUACGUCCUGAGUGAGAAAGUGGGGGAUCUUGAGAGUUUACGCUAUUAGAUGAGGCUAGGUCGGAUUAGCUAGUUGGUGGGGUAAAGGCCUACCAAGGCGACGAUCCGUAACUGGUCUGAGAGGAUGAUCAGUCACACUGGAAGUGAGACACGGUCCAGACUCCUACGGGAGGCAGCAGUGGGGAAUAUUGGACAAUGGGCGAAAGCCUGAUCCAGCCAUGCCGCGUGUGUGAAGAAGGUCUUCGGAUUGUAAAGCACUUUAAGUUGGGAGGAAGGGCAGUAAGUUAAUACCUUGCUGUUUUGACGUUACCAACAGAAUAAGCACCGGCUAACUUCGUG